Molecule: long non-coding RNA, 224 nt
Filed under: Mytilus galloprovincialis (Mediterranean mussel)
Lineage: Eukaryota; Metazoa; Mollusca; Bivalvia; Mytilida; Mytilidae
Source: RNAcentral
UCAUUGUUAAAACAACAGCUUGGGUAAGGGCUUCGUUGUUUACCUUUAUACACAACAACAUAUUAACUAUGUACUUGGUAAAAGUUAUUAAUUAAUUGAAUAGAAAAUAUUAUAACAAAUAUUAUUGGAUGCCGAAUUGACUUCAAAUAGGUGCCGAUUUAACCAGGUGCCGAUUUGAGUUGUACAUUUCAAAUCCUCUGCGAUCGUUUGCGGUAUUUUCUUGA